Molecule: long non-coding RNA, 1017 nt
Filed under: Capra hircus (goat)
Lineage: Eukaryota; Metazoa; Chordata; Mammalia; Artiodactyla; Bovidae
Description: lncRNA (ENSCHIG00010030190.1)
Source: RNAcentral
UUGUUUUUUUUUUUUUUUCACACAAGAAAGACAAAUGGCCAACAGGCACAUGAAGAAAUGCUUGAAAUAAUUAAUCAUCAAAAUGAUGAUUAAUCACUUUGCAAAUCAAAACCACACUGAGAUACCACUUCACACUUGUCAGACUGGCUAGCAACAAGAAGAUGACAAAUAAAUGUGGGCAUGGAUGUGGAGAUAAGGGAACCCUUAAAAACUUUUAGUAGGGUGUAAAUUGAUACCGCAGCCAUGAAAAACAGUAGCGAUUCCUCAAAAAAACUGAAAUCUAGGGAUGAUAAAUGAUUUAUUCAAAGACCCAAUUUUCACUGGAAGAGCUAUUAUCAGAACUUAGUUUCCUGUUCACUCUAUAGUAGGCUUAUCUCCAGAUGAUGUUAGAUAAUUUGCUAAAUGAAUAAUGACCCCAUACAUUAUCUCACUUUGAAUCUCAACUCAUAAUUAGCUUUUUUUUUUUUAUGGGCAUGCCAUCUUCUUUUGGUCUGAAUAGGUACUAAACUAUCCCUGGGAUACUUAUUUCUCAGAAGAGAAACACCCAGCUUUAGAAUUUUGCCUCUCUUGCUCAAGCAGUUUGAGCUAAUUAUGGAAAAGCCUUAUUUGGUAUAGUGGAUUCUGUGCCUGGCCCAGAUGUCCCCUUCAGAAGGAGGCAUUCUUUUCCCUAGUUCUGGGGCUGUUAACAGCUACUGUUCUUUCUAGGAGUUGUCCCAUUGAAGGAAACUGCCUUACUAAGGUUUUUUCUUUUCCCUGGCGUUGCCCCACCUUCAAUGACUAUUGAUACUAAAGAAUAAUAGCCCAGUCCUUAGUUCAGAACAAGUCUGACAGCCACUUUAGUUCCAGGCCUCCAGUGUAGCUGCACUGCAGAAUUCAGCAACUCCCUCUGCCCAAUCUUGCUAUUCUCACUCUCUCACAGAGGUUAUUCCUGACUGUACUCUCUAAUUUAAACCUCCUGCCUCAACAUCUGUCUCGACAUCUGUUUCUCUGGAAAUCUUACUGAAAACAGUAUGCUUU